UGCCAGCAGCCGCGGUAAUACGGAGGGGGCUAGCGUUAUUCGGAUUUACUGGGCGUAAAGAGCACGUAGGCGGUAUGACAAGUUGGAAGUGAAAGCCCAGGGCUUAACCCUGGAACUGCUUUCAAAACUGUUAAACUAGAGAUUGAUAGGGGAUGGCGGAAUUCCUAGUGUAGAGGUGAAAUUCUUAGAUAUUAGGAGGAACACCGGAGGCGAAGGCGGCCAUCUGGAUCAAAUCUGACGCUGAGGUGCGAAAGCGUGGGGAGCAAACAGGAUUAGAUA
RNAcentral lists this ribosomal RNA (279 nucleotides) under uncultured bacterium. RNAcentral's name for it is "partial 16S ribosomal RNA". It matches the Rfam family "Bacterial small subunit ribosomal RNA", at positions 506 to 784 of the family's 1533-position model. The record is from RNAcentral.